CCAGGGCUGCGAGGGCUGCCAGCAUGCUGUCACCUCUCAGCUGCAUCUCUUGAAGAGCAAAAAAACUCUUGGGGCCUGAGCAAAGCCUGAGAAGGGACGCGCAGGACAAAUUUGCGGGGAAAGAGAGAAGAUUGGGCAAAAAUUUGGCAUGAGAACAGCCUUUAACCUGUCCCUUCAAUACAUUUGCUGCCUCAGAAAGGAAGAGGCCACAAGGAGCUCCUGGUUUCUACUACAGCCUCCAGAGUCUCUAAUUCCGUCCCCAAGGAUGGUGUGGGCAGCAUGGUUGGGGGGCAUCCACGGUCUUCAGCGGUCCCACUCUGGAGCCUCCCACACCACACUGUGGGCACUGUGGACAUUCAUCCAUUCUCCGUGAAGGAGCUAGAGCCAUCUUUGCCAAGAGCAAACCUGAUCAUAAUCCUCCCCGGCUUAAAACCGAUAUGCAGUAUAGCCUGCUGAUAGCAGUGCAGACCUCGCUUCUGCUAGGACAACUGGAUGCCAUCAUCCUGAAUCGGACACCUCACCUGACAUCAAACAGCGGGACAGGGCCCAAGGCCCUUGGGUGCCCACAACACACUGAUUGAUCAGCCCAGAUCUCACCACCAUCGCUCACUUGCCUUUCUAAUUUGGGACAGAGAAAGUUUGUGAGUUUUAUUUUGUCUUUUUUUUUUCUCCAGAUUUAAAGAUCUAUUCCCUUUCCUCUCCCCCAAACCUCAUUCCCCAGAACCUAGAUUCUGUGCCAAAUUGGGUUUCCAAGCCUAGCAGUAUAAAACAA
This 772-nucleotide long non-coding RNA is filed under the name Homo sapiens (human). RNAcentral describes it as "HSALNT0388399". Lineage: Eukaryota; Metazoa; Chordata; Mammalia; Primates; Hominidae. The record is from RNAcentral.